UACGGAGGGAGCUAGCGUUGUUCGGAAUUACUGGGCGUAAAGCGCACGUAGGCGGCUUUGUAAGUUAGAGGUGAAAGCCCGGGGCUCAACCCCGGAAUUGCCUUUAAGACUGCAUCGCUUGAAUCCAGGAGAGGUGAGUGGAAUUCCGAGUGUAGAGGUGAAAUUCGUAGAUAUUCGGAAGAACACCAGUGGCGAAGGCGGCCUGCACA
RNAcentral lists this ribosomal RNA (209 nucleotides) under uncultured bacterium. Its description in RNAcentral is "partial 16S ribosomal RNA". It matches the Rfam family "Bacterial small subunit ribosomal RNA", at positions 524 to 732 of the family's 1533-position model. The record is from RNAcentral.